RNAcentral lists this small RNA (489 nucleotides) under Pan troglodytes (chimpanzee). RNAcentral's name for it is "retained intron". The record is from RNAcentral. Lineage: Eukaryota; Metazoa; Chordata; Mammalia; Primates; Hominidae.
AUUCCCGGGCCCUGGCUUCUUGACGCGAUGAGGUUCCGGUUCUGUGGUGAUCUGGACUGUCCCGACUGGGUCCUGGCAGAAAUCAGCACGCUGGCCAAGAUGGUUAAGUGCACAGGGUCUACACUGGGUGGAGGAGGGGUGUUGGGCUGGGGAUUGUGGCUGUAGAGGAUGGUGAGGUUUCUCUGGGGCUAGGGCCUCAGUGCUCUCAGCCUGUGCUGCCAUGCUUUGUGACCUUGAUCAGUGGCUGGCCUGCUCUGAGCCUGUCCCCAGGAAGGAGGGGUGAGGUUUGCCAGCCUGGCUGAUGUAAGGACUUCCCUUCCAGUCCUCUGUGAAGUUGCGGCUGCUCUGCAGCCAGGUACUAAAGGAGCUGCUGGGACAGGGGAUUGAUUAUGAGAAGAUCCUGAAGCUCACGGCUGACGCCAAGUUUGGUGAGUAUCCCGCUGAGUCUAUAAGCCCCAGGCAACCCUGGGAACUUGGCCUGGUGCCUGG